CAAUAGCGUAUAUUUAAGUUGUUGCAGUUAAAAAGCUCGUAGUUGGAUUUCGGAUGGGACUUGCCGGUCCGUCGUUUCGAUGUGCACUGGCCAGUCCUAUCUUGUUGUCGGGGACUAGCUCCUGGGCUUCACUGUCCGGGACUAGGAGCUGACGAGGUUACUUUGAGUAAAUUAGAGUGUUCAAAGCAAGCCUACGCUCUGAAUACAUUAGCAUGGAAUAACACGAUAGGACUCUGGCUUAUCUUGUUGGUCUGUGAGACCAGAGUAAUGAUUAAGAGGGACAGUCGGGGGCAUUCGUAUUUCAUUGUCAGAGGUGAAAUUCUUGGAUUUAUUAAAGACUAACUUAUGCGAAAGCAUUUGCCAAGGAUGUUUUCAUUAA
Molecule: ribosomal RNA, 379 nt
Filed under: uncultured eukaryote
Lineage: Eukaryota
Description: partial 18S ribosomal RNA
Rfam family: Eukaryotic small subunit ribosomal RNA
Source: RNAcentral